This 469-nucleotide ribosomal RNA is filed under the name uncultured bacterium. Its description in RNAcentral is "partial 16S ribosomal RNA". It matches the Rfam family "Bacterial small subunit ribosomal RNA", at positions 28 to 507 of the family's 1533-position model. The record is from RNAcentral.
GACGAACGCUGGCGGCGUGCUUAACACAUGCAAGUCGAACGGAAAGGCCCUGCUUGCAGGGUGCUCGAGUGGCGAACGGGUGAGUAACACGUGGGUGAUCUGCCCCUUACUUUGGGAUAAGCCUGGGAAACUGGGUCUAAUACUGGAUAGGACCAUGCUGUAGGUGGUGUGGUGGAAAGAUUAGUUUCGGUAAGGGAUGAGCUCGCGGCCUAUCAGCUUGUUGGUGGGGUAAUGGCCUACCAAGGCGUCGACGGGUAGCCGGCCUGAGAGGGUGGACGGCCACAUUGGGACUGAGAUACGGCCCAGACUCCUACGGGAGGCAGCAGUGGGGAACAUUGCACAAUGGGCGCAAGCCUGAUGCAGCGACGCCGCGUGGGGGAUGACGGCCUUCGGGUUGUAAACUCCUUUCAGCCAUGACGAAGCCCUUGUGGUGACGGUAGUGGUAGAAGAAGCACCGGCUAACUACGUG